Long non-coding RNA from Esox lucius (northern pike), 1134 nucleotides. RefSeq lists it as uncharacterized. NCBI's taxonomy places the organism in Eukaryota, Metazoa, Chordata, Actinopteri, Esociformes, Esocidae. The record is from RefSeq and is a predicted model, not a curated record. The transcript has 5 exons.
CAAUGAAAUCCCCUUUGAUCUCAUAGUGAUCUCAGAGUUGAAGCGUUCUCUGACAACCAGACAGAAGAAUAGAUAAUCUCAAAGCAUACCACACACAUACCUCUACUGCUCUUUGGAUUGAGUCCCUGUUUUGGUGUUCCAGUCUCAGACUAUGGUGGUACUUAAGGGGGAGUCCAUCACCUUGCUGUGCUCAGUUGUGGUACAUGUAGCCUGGUUUAAUCAAGUCAACAGAUCAGAGCCUGUGUGUAUCUCGGUUAUGUAAGGCUUCAAUUCAUCAGUUGAUUGUGACUUAAAAAAUAGAAACUUUUAAAUGUACAGCAACAUCACCACCAUCUUGCUUAACAUCACAUAAGUGGAAAUAGCUGACAGCGGCCUGUUUUUCUGUGGAUUCUAAACAAAUACUAAGCACAUGGCAUUUUUCAAUGAAACAACAAUUUCAUAUGAUAAUGGACAGCGUAAUGCAACUAACAGUCUUGGAGUGGGUGGUGGAUCUAUGGACUUGUUGCCAAUGGUUGUGAGCCUGUGUGGUGUGACUGCUGUACUCCUGAUAGUCAUUAUCAUUCUGGUCCUCAAGAUCCGACGAGACACAAAAACAGAUAAUGAGACUCAACUGCAGAGCCAAAAUAACCAGGAUGUGGAUGAGGACACAGAUCUUAACUAUGCAGCACUGAAUUUUAGUCAGAAGACGCCAAGAAAUCAGCUGAACAUGAUGGAGAAGGAUUUGGAUUCCACUAGAUAAUGUAAAAUGUUUUUAUGUUGACAUUGAUUGUUGUUGUUUUUGGUCACAAAUCAAUGUAACAUUGAUUGUUGAUGUUGCUGGGCUCUGUCCUCCUAUUUUAUUACUCAUCAAACAAAUAAGGGGCACUCUUGGAACUUCUAAGACAUAUUGGUCACAUUUUCUUCAUAUAUGACAUAUAUGGCCUGCUGAGGUGACCAUCAGUAUGUUAUUACCUUCUGAAUUCAAAUAAGAAAUUAAACAACGAUGCCAAGAACAUUUUUGUAAAUGACAUUACAUAUGAUUUUGAAUGCAAAAUGCAAAAAACUUUUGGAACAAAUUUAAAGUACAUGCAAUAAAAAGACACGGUUUGUAUGUUUGUCUCUCACUCUGUGUGUAAACCACACAUCUUCAAACCA